GGCAUGGAAGUAUUGUCUUGGAGAUGGAGAGAGGAUAAGACUGUUAUAUAAUAUGAAUUGGUAUUGUGGAAAUUCUGAUACCCCAAUUGCAGGCCCGGUCCUGCUUAGAGGCGGAUGAGGCCUCCGCCUCAGGCCCAAAAUUUAAGGGGGCCUCAUAUUGCUGGCCCAAUUUAUUAUUAUUUUUUUAUGUUAUUAAUAUUUUUUUUUUAACAAUGGCAGACGAGGUCCAGCAAGACUGCAAGAGUAGCCCAAAACUCUCAAGCUCAAGCCCGUAUCCUAAUCCAUUAUCCAUUUUCUCCAAAAUUCCCAAAUUGAAAUCCAUUUUCCCCAAACGCUUCGUCGUUUUCGUCUGGCCUUCUCUCUCUCGCCCAGACUCCAGAGUCCAGAGUUCCAGAGCCUCGAGUCUCUCUCUCGCGCACGCACACUCACAUAGAGAGCGAAAGCUAGGCAUAUUUUGGCAAUCAUAGAAAUUCGGGUUGGUUAAACCAUUUAGAGAGAGAAGUGUAUUAAGGCUCAAAUCGCAGUGGAAAAUGGAAGGUUUUGUGAUUCUUGGUUCGGAGAAUGCUUGAAUAGCCGAAGGUAGUUCUUGUCUUCUUGAUUCCAGACUUCGAGUUUGUAAUUAUUUUUUUCUGGCCAAUUUAAAAUUUUACUAAUAGCAAAAUUAUGAGCUUUUUGAAUAUGUACGUGAAUGCUGGCUAAUAAGUAAUAUCUAACAUAAACGGAGAUCAAGAAAAUUCAGAGGAUUCACUCAUUCACAUUAGAUCUGGAGCGACCAGGCUUUUUCAGUUCAUUUCAGUUUUAGGUACCCGAAGUUAAGCAAAUUAUUUUUACUUCGUGCUUGCACCAGGGAAAAAAGAAAGAAAACAAAAAAACAAAGUCUAGAGGUCGGUUUUGGAAUUGAAACCUGUUUUCAUAGGCAGUUGUAUGUAUAUAUUGAAGCUCACAGCUUUCUGCUUAAUUUUUAUGAAGUUGCUGGUUUUUGCAAAUUAAAUUGUGUGAGCAUAUGUAUGUUGGUGUUGUUUAAUUAGAAGGCAGGCCCUAAAUUGGUUUAGUAACGAGAAUGGCAUAGAUUCAAGAAAGGAAUAGUCUAUAAUUUUUCCAGAUAGAAUUUCCUUAUCAAAAAGAUCAUUAUAAGUGAGAAAAUUUAUUUUAGAAGGAAAAUCAAGGGGAAAAUAAAGUUCAGAAUGUUGAGCACCCCAGCAGAUUUUUCUUUACUAAACAGAACCUUCACUAGUUCCUUUUGGAGUGGAUUUGUCGGAUUUACCACAGUUGACUGGAAUUUUAAUUCUAGGCAUGGAUUGGUUAGCUAAACACCAAUUUACUAUCAAUUGUAAGAAGAAAAUCUUAAAUACGAUCGAUGUAGAAAUUGACUCAUUCAUUAAACUUGUCAAAACUUUGAGGAUUUUGAUUUUGACACUUGAGGCAGCGUAACUUAUUACUAAGAAAAGUCAAUGAUUUUGGAUUAUUAUUCAUCAAUGUGAAGUUAAACUUGAGGAAUCAUUUAGUAUCAGUAGUACAAGAAUUCACGGACAUUUUCGACAAACUUGAUCCGCUGACUUGUACAUCAGAUUUGUUGCAUGUGAGGGCAGUUGUCUUGUAUAAAUUGGGUUCAAAGAUUGUGUUAGACCCGGUGAUGUUGAUUUUUGAUAAGAUAGUCUAUGUGGGACCAAUGAGGGCAUAACAGUACGAACUUCCAUAUCCUAAUGGGACUUCCUGCUAACUAUGUUGGUGUUGUUUAAUUAGAAGGCAGACCCUAAUUUGGUGUUGGAACCCUCAAUAAAUUUGGAAUCUGAUUUUAAUAGCAAAAAUUGCAACCUUGAACUUGCAGACAAUAACUGUAACCAGCACUUUCACUCCAUAAUUAUAGGGUGUCUCCUCUAUCUAAAUGUAGGCUAAGAAAUCGAGUUUUUUGAGGGAUUUUUGGCACUUGGAUGGGCAUUUGCCUCAGCAACCAAAUCAAGGUAGAGAGUCCAUUUAAUACUGGAACAUGUAUAUUCUCAAAACACAAUCACUUUCUUUAUGUAGAGUGAAAGAGAGAGAACAAUGAAAUUAUGUUUACUAGAGAGAUUGAAAUGAUAAAUUCAAAAUUUGUGAUAUUUUUGAGUUGUUUUUCUGAAACUAAGAAUUCAUGUCCUAUGCAUUUUCUGGUUUGUCGUAUCAAUUGCCUUCAAAGGUAAUAGGAUACCUGAGACUUCUAAUGCUGCGUAGUCUACUAUUUCUUCAUUGAUUUUAAUUGGUGGCAACUAAUUUCUUCGACACAUUGCAUACUACAUAUAACGCGUUAAAAUAAAAUUCUACCACUAGAGGAGGCUUGUGUACUUGAAGGGGAAAUUGUUAUGCUUCGAACUCUGAAAUAUUCAAGGUUCAUUUUGAAGACAUAAUAUGAAUAACUAUAUUUCUUCCUUUUUUAACAACUCAAACUUUUGGACGAGUAUGUAGUUUUAAAGCAUACAAUUGUUCUAUUUUUAAUUCAAAAUUGUUUCCUGCUUAUGAAAAUUCUACUUUUCAACCCUAUGAUGAAAAAGAUGAACCGAUGAUUAAAAAUCAGAGGUGGACUAAAGUGAAUGUUAGAAUUUUGAUUCCUAAUGCUAUCUCUUAUCAUGUUCAUAGUUGUAUUAGCGUUUGAUUUGAUGAUCAUGUUCAUAUUUGUAAUUUUGUAUUAGCGUUUGAUGUAAAAAUUUUGUUUCAGGGUCGUGAGUUGUGAGUCUUGUGACAAUUGAAUUCUCGAAGGUGUAACUCCACAGAAUACGGUUUUCGUAGAAAUUCUACUUCUCAAGUAAGUAAUGGCUUGCCCUAACUUGUUAUUGAAGAGAUUGGAAAUGUUUGAAGCCUUGUCGGCUUAUAUAAUUACAGUCUGCUCGGCUUAUAUGAUUGCUUAUUGUACGAUGAACAAUUACACUGGCACACGUAGUAACUACAUUCAAAACUAUAAUUGUAAGAUGAUUGAGAUAUUGUGUAAUUGUUUUUUAGGUUAAUCAUUGGACAUUAGAUAUACACUUCUACACUAUGCCUCCUAAAUAUGAGUCUGGUGCUCAAAAGAGGAAAAGGAAACGAAAUAAAAUUACAUUAAUUCAAAGUCAAGAAGAGGAUAUUAAUAAGUACUUUAAAAGCAACAAUGUGAAUGUGUUGAAUGAGGAUGAAGAUGAACUAGAGAUUCAACAUGCCCAUAUUAAUGAAGUAGAUGAUAAGGAUGAAGAAGUGAGUCAACCUGCCGAUGUUAACAAAGUAAAUGAUAAGGAAGAAGAAGUGAUGAAGCCCGCCUCUAAUAAUGAAGAAGAUGAUAAGGAAAAAGAGGGUUGCUUUUCUUCAAAUUCGGAUGAUCCCGGGAAUUGAAAAAUCAUUGAUCAAAGAACAAGGGAAUAUUUAGUUGAAAGGGGUCCAAAAAGAGUUGAUGACAUCUCGUUUCCGAAAGACUAUACAAAUAGACAUUUUGAUUCUUCACAAUAUAAGUGAUUGCUACCAAAUGGGCAAAUAGUUGAUAGAAGAUUACUAGUAUAUUCAGUGUCUAUAGACAUGAUCUUCUGCUUUUGUUGUAAGUUGUUUAAAACAUCAAUAAAUGUGACCAAAGUUGGUCAACUAGGUAAUGAUGGAUUCAAAGAUUGACAUAAUUUGCAUCGGUCUAUUAAAAGUCAUGAAGGAAAUGAGGAGCAUUUACGUUGCAUGACUAGCUAGAUUGAAUUGAAAAACAGGCUUCAAACAAAAACUACAACUGAUAAAAGCGUUGAAUUCCCGAGCUUUCGAUAUUGAUGACAUUAGAGGGCAAGGGUAUGACAACGGAUCUAACAUGAGCGGGAAGUACAAAGGUGUUCAAAGAAGAGUCCAUGAAAUGAAUCCCCGAGCUUUCUAUACUCCAUGUGGAGCUCAUAGUCUAAAUCUAGCAUUAUAUGAUAUAGUGAACUGUUGUUUCUUCUUCAGAGUGAUACAACGCAUCUACACAUUGUUUUCCUCUUCUACCAAGCGAUGAAAAAUUUUCAAAGAUAAUGUACAAGGGUUGACAGUGGAGACAUUGUCACAAACACGCUGGGAAAGUCAUAUUGAGAGUGUGAAGCCUAUAAUGGAGCAAACUGCACAGAUAAGAGAUGCGUUACUUGAUUUGGUAGAAAGUAAUGAAGACCCUAAAGUGAAGAGUGAAGCCGAGUCGUUAGCAACACAUGAACUUCAAAAUUUUGAGUUUUUGCUUGGCAUGAUAAUCUGGUACAGGUUGUCGCAUGCUGUCAAUAUUGUGAGUAAAUUUCUUCAAAUUGAAUCCAUGGAUAUUGAUCAUGCUAUCGACCUCUUGUAAGGACUUGUUUCAUUUCUUGAAAAAUAUAGAGAAAUUAGAUUUGCUAUUGCCAAGGAUGAAGCUACAAAAAAGGCUAGCGAAAUGGGAAUUAAAGCUGUAUUUAUAGAAAAACGCAUAAUUCGAAGAAAAAUGCAAUUUGAUGAAAGCGGUAGUGAUGAGGUAAAUCAAUCGGUAGUAGAAUCUUUUAGAGUUGAGUACUUUGUUUUUCUAAUUGAUGAAGCUCUAUCUUCUCUGAGGACCCGAUUUGAAUAAUUCAAAUAAUAUGAUACAUUUGGAUUUUUGUUUAAUUUGAAGAGGUUAAGGGGUGCAACUUUUUCAAGUUUGAUGAACUCUUGUAUGAAUCUUGAGAGCUGUCUUCAACAUGAUGGGCUUUCGGACAUUAGUGGGGAUGAUUUAUGUUCGGAGUUAUAAGUCUUGAGGUGUUAUAUAUCAAGUGAAGCAAUAAGAGCAAUUGAAGUGCUACAAUAUUUGAAGACAUUGAAUAUUUAUUUUCCAAAUACUUAUAUUGCUUACAAAAUUUUGUUAACCAUACCGGUUACAAUUGCACUUGCGGAAAGAAGUUUCUCGAAAUUGAAGUUGAUUAAGACCUAUCUUUGUUCAACUAUGUCACAAGAAUGAUUAAACGAGUUGCCUAUGAUAUCAAUAGAGAAAGAAAUGGUUGAGCAGCUAAAUUAUUCAAUUUGAUUGAUGUUUUUACCUCUAAAACAGCAAGACGAAUAGUAUUUAAUUAAUUGUUUCAAACAUUGUUGAUUUUGAUAGUUUAUAAUAUAAAUCUUUUCUAUAAUAUAUUUGGUUGUUGGUUUAAUGUUAAUUUUUUAAGUUAGUAAUGGGUUGCAUAAUACAUCGUUGAAGUUUACAUUUACGUUGAUUUCGUCGAAGGGCCUAAUUUUCAAACUUCGCCUCAGGCCCCGAAAAUCACAGGACCGGCUCUGCCCAAUUGCAUACCAGGAAAUCCAUGCCCAAAAUUAUGGCUGAUGUCAGCAAUGCAGUUCAGAAUGGACUAAGCAAUAUGGAGUUCAUUUUAGAGCAACUGAAUUGAGCAAACAUCGGGGGAUUAAAUAAACAUUUCCUAGAGAACAUCUUCAAUUAUAUGGGGACAGUUUCAUUUAAAUUUACUGCAAGAGCUAUCGAAAAAACUUACAUAAACAUAUACUUUGACAUAUAAUACACAUGCAUACAUGGUAAAUAACAAAAAUGAAAGAAUCACAG
Molecule: long non-coding RNA, 5491 nt
Filed under: Olea europaea subsp. europaea
Lineage: Eukaryota; Viridiplantae; Streptophyta; Magnoliopsida; Lamiales; Oleaceae
Source: RNAcentral